AUUUAGGGUUUCCUUUGAUUUUGGGGAAAUAAAAAUAUAGCGAUCGAUUACACAUGCUAAUGGAAAUAUAUAAGUGAGUAAAUAUGAUAUGUAAAUCAAGGUAUAUUAAGAAAAUAACAAUAAUAAGUUAUUGCCUAAUAAUGAAGAGCAUAUAGCCACGCUUUUACUGAAACAAGGAAAAGACUACUGGCAGCAGUGAAAAAUUUUAUACAAUUAAUUUAAGUUAGAUAUAGAGAUUGUUAGUAGUUUUGUCUAAUUACGUGCCAGCAGACGCGGUUACACUUAAGAGACAAGUUUUUGUGUAUAAAUAGGUUAUAAAUAUGUGUAGGUGUAUAUAAUAAAAAGCUUAGAAAUUUAAUAAUUUGGUAAAAUAAAUAUUAAACAUAAUAUCUGGUAAAACUAUAGCUUUUAAUAAGCUGAGACAUGGAAGAUAGGUAAAUAAACAGGAUUAGAUACCCUGGUAAUCCUUUCCCUAAAUAAAGAUUAAUUCUACCUGAAUAUUACAAUCGCAAGAAAGAAAGUCAAAAAAUCUGGCUGUUUGCUUUCCACUUAGAGGAGCUUGUAUAUUAAAUCGAUAGUCCACGAAGUACCUUACCUGUUCUUGAUAUUCAGGUGCUGCAUGGCCGUCUUAAGCUUAUUUGUAAAACUAUAGGCUAAAUCCCUAAAGGGAAUAAGUCAGGUAGUAUGGCCCUCAUGAUCAGGUUUAAUAUGCGCUACAAUUUUUAGUUUAAUUUAAAAUUAAAAAUAGAAGCUCAGCGAAAUCUUAGCCGUAAAGAGGAUUUAAAAGUAACCAGAUAUAAUAACGGUCUGGUGAAUAGGUUCAAGCAUUAGUACAAAUUGCCCGUCACCUUUGUUUGAUUAAUUUAUGAGAAAGACUCUGGUUUACUUAAAAUACCAAAACAAAGCAAGUCGUAACAUAGUGAGAAGAAGGGAACUUCUUCUUGCAGAGCUUCUACAAGAAA
This 962-nucleotide ribosomal RNA is filed under the name Geryonia proboscidalis. Its description in RNAcentral is "12S ribosomal RNA". It matches the Rfam family "Bacterial small subunit ribosomal RNA". Lineage: Eukaryota; Metazoa; Cnidaria; Hydrozoa; Limnomedusae; Geryoniidae. The record is from RNAcentral.